Dromiciops gliroides (monito del monte) is the source of this 967-nucleotide long non-coding RNA. RefSeq lists it as uncharacterized. NCBI's taxonomy places the organism in Eukaryota, Metazoa, Chordata, Mammalia, Microbiotheria, Microbiotheriidae. The record is from RefSeq and is a predicted model, not a curated record. The transcript has 5 exons.
CCAAGGAGGUGCAGUCCAUGCAGUGGGAGCCAAGGUUUGGCUUUCUCUGCACUUUCCUCUGCACUGCCCUGUGGAAAUGAUCCGGGGAAUUCCAUGCGAUUAUCAGGCUUCUGAAGAUGCUCCGGUAGCUGGUGGCGUACUCCGAGAAGGUCAUUCAAAGGCUCAUAUUCCCACAUGUCUGGUGGUCGGGAAGAAAAAAAAUGGAACUGCAUUGAUCCUGAGAUUCUAAAGCGUAUCAACACCAAAUAAAACAAGCUUUCCCACAUAUACAAUAGAACAGCAAAAGAGGAUCAUAUGUAAGACUGAUAAUUUCUGCUGUUAAUCAUAGGAUUCAAUGUGGGAAAGGACCUUCUAUUUCAACACCUUCAUUCGAGAGAUGAUGAAGCCAAGAAGUAUCCCUGAAGAGAGGCUGCUUCCUGGAGGCACUGAAGGCAUGGUGGCCAUCAUCAUCUCCUCCCUGCUGUGAUACUUCUACUCUGGAGGAGAGAAGGAAACCCAAGUGAGGGAUAAGAAGAAGACCAGAAGGUCUUGUCAUCUAAAGAAAAUUUCUCUUAAUCUUGGAGCCUGGAUCUCCCUGGCAGUGGAAUAAAAUUUUGCCCUGAGGACUGCGUUCCACAAAUGUGGGUAUGUAUGCUGUCAUCGUCGUCACCACCAUCAUCAUCAAUUUCCCUACCAGUUAUUAUUUAGAAUUAUCAUUGGGUUUAUGUAGAAAAGACCACUUAGGAACGGCAGGAUGGGAGAGAGGGAGGAGAAUACUGUGAAGCAGGGGAAGAGGAAAAAGUAGAAAGAAGGAAGUAGGAGAGAUACAAAAGAAAUGGACAAUGGAAGAUGGUAGGAAGACAGGUGGGGGCAGCAAGGUGGCACUGCAGUGGAUAGAGCAUUAGAACUGGAGUCAGGAAGACUCAUAUUCAUGAGUUUAAAUCUGGACUCAGACACUUCCCAGCUCUUGGACUUUGGGCAAGAAACU